UACAGAGGUCCCAAGCGUUGUUCGGAUUCACUGGGCGUAAAGGGUGCGUAGGUGGCCAGGUAAGUCUGAUGUGAAAUCUCGGAGCUCAACUCCGAAACUGCAUUGGAUACUAUCUGGCUGGAGGGUCGGAGGGGGGACUGGAAUUCUCGGUGUAGCAGUGAAAUGCGUAGAUAUCGAGAAGAACACUUAGGGCGUAGGCAAGACUCUGGACAAAUGCUGACGCUCAUGCACGAAGGCUAGGGUAGCGAACGGG
RNAcentral lists this ribosomal RNA (253 nucleotides) under uncultured bacterium. Its description in RNAcentral is "partial 16S ribosomal RNA". It matches the Rfam family "Bacterial small subunit ribosomal RNA", at positions 524 to 776 of the family's 1533-position model. The record is from RNAcentral.